Molecule: long non-coding RNA, 2766 nt
Filed under: Sus scrofa (pig)
Lineage: Eukaryota; Metazoa; Chordata; Mammalia; Artiodactyla; Suidae
Description: lncRNA (ENSSSCG00055014599.1)
Source: RNAcentral
ACAUUCCCGUUUGUAAGCGAAGCCUUGCUGUAGCACAGGCUGGGCCCCCUGCCUGGAAAUCCGUACCCGCCUCUUCUCUGGACUUUAUCAUCACCUCCUCUGUGAAGCCUUCUCGGCCCCUGACAGUACCUGUGCCUCUGUGGUGACAGGUUCUCUCUCUGUGAAAGCUCCAUGUUCUCUAGAGGGUACUGCGUGGAGGAAGCAGCCCUAAUAAGCCCGCAGGGAUGAAGGCCAUGGAAAGUGAUGUGUCCGUGCCCUCUGACUCAGGCUGACAGCCGAGCUGGCUGUGGCGAUGAGCUCACGGUGACCUCGAAGCGUGGAUUGAUGGGGACAGGCCUGCUGCUUUUUUGUCCUGUGUCUCCGGGUCUUCCAGUGGACACGGGGCACACAGCCUCACCUGCCACGCCCGCCAUGCCCAUCCUAACUGUGACCCAGUCUCCUGUGACCCACGCUGGAGGGCCAAGGUCUGGAGCCCGGCCAACUAUGACUAACAAGGGCUGUAAGGAGAGGUGGAUGAAGUGGAACCGUGAGACUGGUCCUUGGCCUUGAGCAGCUAGAGCUAUUCCUCAUGGCCUCAAAUAUUCAUGAACUGAGGGGCAACUUCCUGUGUGAAAGCAGGGGUCCUGGCCUCAGAGCCAGCCCUGCUUUUUACUUGCUGUGGAACAAGCAAUAGGGCUUUUCCGAGCCUCAGUGGCUUCGUCUAGAACACUGGGGUCAUGGAGCUUUUAGGAUUAUUAGGUACUUCCCCUGUGCCUUAUCCUUGGAAUUCUCACGGCACCCUCAGAAGUUGGGGGUAUCAUGCCCACUUUGCAGAUGAGGCAAAGUGAGGCACAGAGAGGAGAAAUAACAUGCCCAAGGUCCUGCAGCAGAUAAUCAGCAGAGCUGGAAAUGAGCUCAAGCCAGCCUGGCACCAAAGCCCACCGCAGCUGCUUUUAUAGGCUUUGUGACUGCACAGGCUGUAGUCUUCCCUCUCCGUGGAGGGAGGCAGGGCCCUUCCCGUAAAUACUGCUGCUAUUUGCCUGUGGAACCGUUACUGUGAGAGGUCCCUUUAUAUGCUGCGCUUGUGAUCUUGUUCCUGAGAAGGGACUCAGGUGCAUGGGGACGUUAGGUGGGCAGGUAACCGCCAGGGUGGCAGAGCUGGGUUCCAGGCUGACAGGGGAUCCCACUCUCCUUAAAGGAGUGAGGUGCCCAGGGCUGGACCAUCAGCAGUUCAUGGAGCCUUUUACCCUGUGGUCCUUGCAGCCUCCUCCCAGCCCUGCCGUUAUCUGCCUGAGAGAGAAGAAACGGAGGCCAGGGAGAGCAGGGGGCUUGCUCCUCCCGCUGCCCCAACCUGCUCAGUCUGGAAGGCACAUGGGGAAGUGGCAGGGAAAAGCUUGCCAGCAGGAUUGGACUUACGUUGGCGAGCUGAGCUGUGACCUCUGCAAGGGCUGGGCGUUCCUUCCAGGGAACUCAAGGCGGGGCAGAUGGGUUGAAGUGAGAUCAGAGGGCAGGCCAGGCCAGGGAGAGGAGAGGGGGUCAGGUCUCGGGGGGCGGUUAUGGGAAGAGGAAGAGAGCCUGGAAAGGCCAGGAAUGGGGCUUGGCCAGGGGAUUGCUCAGCAGAAGUUUUAAACUGGGCCAUGGGGCUUGGCCAGGGGAUUGCUUAGCAGAAGGUCUAAACUGGGGCCAUGGGGGAGAGUGUGGAGCUCAGGGAUCCGAGGCAUCUCGGUACAAAUUAUGCCUGUGCUGGUUGUGAGGGUGGGGAGUUGGAGCAAGCAGUCCCCCUGAGCCUCGGUGUCCUCUGUAAAAGGGCUGAGGAGCAGUGAGUGGUCACGGGAGCAUUUCCUGCAUGAGAGCCUGGCUUUACCUCUUACCAGUGUGACCCGGGGCAAAUGGACUCAUCUCUCUGGGCCCCAGUUUCCUCAUCUGUAAGAUGGGCCUGAUAGGAAUGGUACCUACCACACCCGGUUGUGAGCAUUUCAGAGUCUAGAAGGAUCUGUCGCAAGCUUCCAGACUCUUCAUCUAAUCAGCGCUGUCAUCAUCAGUAUCAUCUUCUUCACUGUGGCACACCUCAAAGUGUUCUAGGAAGGCUUAAACAAGGCUGCUGAUGCCAACUGGCUGGCACAGGCAUUAUUCGAUGCGGUCAUCCCUUGGUGCCUGCAGGGGCUUGGUUCCGGGACCCCUGUGGGUACCAAAAUUGGAGGACGCCCAAGUCCCUUACAUAAAACGGCGCAGUAUUUGCAUGGGACCUACACAUAUCUUUCCACAUGCUGCAGAUCAUUCCAGAUGCCUUACAAAACCUAAUGCGAUGCAAAUGCCGUGUAAACAGUUGCCAGCAUAUGGCAAAUUCAAGUUUUGCCUUUUGGAACUUCCUGGAUUUUUUUUUUUUUUCCAGAAUAUUUUUGAUCCACUGUCGGUUGAACCCAUGGAUGUGGAAGGCCAGCUAUAAUUAGGGGCAGAGUGACUGGUGCUAAGCUCUGGAUGGUGGGUGGUGCUGUGAGACUCAGAAGGCAGAAUUUCGGCCUGGCUGGGGGAUGGGUGUGGAAGGCUUCCUGAGGGAGGUGGCCUUUCCUGGACCUCAAAGGAAGGAUGCGUACAAGUUCUCAGAUGGAGGGGGGGGGGUGUGGGUAGAGUGAGGAACUUGAGUGAAACUUGGUGGUGAGAGAGCCCGAGCAUGGGACCAUGGAGUCAGUUUAUGAGGCUGUGUGUCUGGGGUGAGGGGCAAGGCACGAGGCUGCCUGGGGGGCUGGGUGCCGAAUGCCUCGUCUGGAGAUUAAACUUGGUCCAGUA